UCCAAUGGAAUAAUCGGCCAGUUAAUUUAACCGUGAGUUGUGGAACCGGGCCUAAGAAUCUUUAUCAUAAUGUCAAUUACUCAUUAAAAUGCAAUGUAUCUUGCAUAGAAUUUUAAUGUAAGCAACAUGUUACACUUGAUGGAAAAUAGUAUAUCUAGACAGAGUUCAAAGUUACAUAGAGUAUUUUUAUGACACUAUUACAGAAUUUGGCAUUAUGUACAUUUCUUCUUAAAGCGACAAUGAAAACUUUAUUAUUAUGAGUUUAAAACUUUAAUACUUUUUGCUCAUUAGAAAAUGGUUUUCACAUUUAUAUGUCCUUUUUUUCAGACAGAAGAAUCUACAACAACAAACAAUAUUACAAAUAUAUUUUAAAUUAUGAAACAAUGUUAAAAUAAAGUUCGCUUUUUAUUUUACAAAGGAAAUAAAACCUGAAAAAUCCAGCAAAAUUAGGAAAUCUACAAUAAUCACACGUAGAGCAUGUCACAUGCCAAAUUUUAGCCCAAUCAACUUAUUGUCAUUUUAUUUAAUUUAGUUUAUUAUUUAGUUAAUUAAGUAUUACAAACUUUGACACUGAAAAUUUUUCAACUUUUUAAAACGAGUCUCUUGUGUAUUAAUGGAUGCAUUAGUUGUUGCAAUAUUUGAUAAACUAGUUACAUUAUUAUUUAUUGACACAAUAAACAACAUUGUUUAUUGACACAAUGAUAACAGUAUUACAAAUUUCUUAACUUUACAAAAUUCGACUUUUAAACAUAUUAUGUUUACUGUACAAUUUUUAAUGCGUAAGAAAUCAAUUGUUUAUCAUACAACUCGAUAAAGUUUUCAACAUAUAGUAAUAGAGUUUAAUUGUCGCUUUAAGAAAAAACUUUUUUAUAGUGCCAAAUUCUGUAAUAAUGUCAUCAUAACACAUUAUGUGUUAUUAACACUAAACUUUGUUCAGAUGCAUUAUUUUUUGUUAAAUGUAAUAUAUGUUGCUAACGCUAAAAUUUUAAGCGAGACAUGUAUUGCAUAAUUGAUCGAUCUCAGAUGCAUAAAAAAUUGUACGAUAAAUAUAAUAUUAACUUCAAGUCAAAUUUUGUAAAAUUAAAAAAAUCUGUCAUUUCUAUCACACAUGCAGUAUGUCUGGAACAAAAUUUUGUAGUAACCAAUAGGUUAUCUCUCAUCAUUAAAAAUGAUUGUUAUGAAAUAAUUAAUAACCUAUAUUAACAUUUGAAAACGGUACUAUAUUAUCAUAAUAAAAUUUUUUUAUCUUAUGAAAACGGUUCUCUUUUACACUAACAGAUGCAUUAGUAUUGUAGGAUAUAAUAAACUCGUGUACACUUUAUUGUAUGAAAAAAUUUUUUAAUGAGCAUAAACUAAGAAUUUGAUAAAAAUUAAAAACGUGAAAAAUUUUAUACUAUUAGAAAUAUAUUAAUUGUUCAACAUCUAGAGAACAUUAUUACUUUUGAUAUUUUCACCCUAAUUAUGUGAUACAAGGAAUCUUCUAACAUAAUGUCAAUUACUCGUGUAAUAUGUGUCUCGUAUAGAAUUUUAGCAUAAGCAACACGUCACAUUUGAUGGAAAAUAGUACAUCUGAACAGAGAUUAGUGUUACAUAGAGUGUUUACGACACUAUUACAGAAUUUGACACUACAUGUUUUUUCUUAAAGCGACAAUUAAAUCUUUGUAACUGUAGAAGAAUAUUUAUAACUACGAAUGUUAAUAUUACAAAUAAAUUUUGCAUUAUGAAACGAUGUUAGAGCAAAGAUCGCUUCUUAUUGUACAAAGGAUAAUAAAAUGUGAAAAGUCCUGCAAAGUUAAGAAAUUUACGUAAAUCACACGUAGAACAUGACACAUGCAAAAGUUUAACCUAAUCAACUUAUUGUCAUUUUAUUUAAUGAAAAAUUAUUUCUUUUAACAGGCUUAUUUCUUAUUCAUGCUUCCUUGCCAUCACAAAAAUUGUCAAAAGUUUUUUUGCUCAAAUGAGUCUUAUGUAAAAAUGGUUCCAUUAAUUAUUGCAUAUGUUAAAUGUAUUGGGUCAAUAAACAAUAAUGUAACAAGUUUAUAAAAUA
Molecule: long non-coding RNA, 2047 nt
Filed under: Monomorium pharaonis (pharaoh ant)
Lineage: Eukaryota; Metazoa; Arthropoda; Insecta; Hymenoptera; Formicidae
Description: uncharacterized LOC118648249
Source: RNAcentral